GGCUCAGAUGAAACGCGGGCGGCAUGCUUAACACAUGCAAGUCGAACGGUAACGGGCCUUCGGGUGCCGACGAGUGGCGAACGGGUGAGUAACGCGUAGGAAUCUGUCUUGUAGUGGGGGGGAACCCGGGGAAACUCGGGCUAAUACCGCAUACGUCCUGAGGGGGAAAGUGGGCCUCUGUUUACAUGCUCACGCUAUAAGAGGAGCCUGCGUCCGAUUAGCUAGUUGGUGGGGUAAAAGCCUACCAAGGCGACGAUCGGUAGCUGGUCUGAGAGGACGAACAGCCACACUGGGACUGAGACACGGCCCAGACUCCUACGGGAGGCAGCAGUGGGGAAUAUUGGACAAUGGGGGCAACCCUGAUCCAGCGAUGCCGCGUGUGUGAAGAAGGCCUGCGGGUUGUAAAGCACUUUCAGGAAAGAGAAAAGGAGUGCGGCUAAUAACCGUAUUCUGUGAUGUUAUUUUCAGAAGAAGCACCGGCUAACUCUGUGCCAGCAGCCGCGGUAAUACAGAGGGUGCAAGCGUUAAUCGGAAUUACUGGGCGUAAAGGGCGCGUAGGUGGCUAUUUAAGUUGGAUGUAAAAUACCCGGGCUUAACCUGGGUUUGCCAUCCAAGACUGGAUAGCUAGAGGUCAGCAGAGGGAAGCGGAAUUUCCGGUGUAGCGGUGAAAUGCGUAGAUAUCGGAAGGAACACCAGAGGCGAAGGCGGCUUUCUGGGCUGCACCUGACACUGAGGCGCGAAAGCGUGGGUAGCGAACAGGAUUAGAUACCCUGGUAGUCCAUGCUGUAAACGAUGAAAACUAGCCGUUGGUAACGUAAAGUUAUCGGUGGCGCAGCUAACGCAUUAAGUUUUCCGCCUGGGG
RNAcentral lists this ribosomal RNA (862 nucleotides) under uncultured bacterium. RNAcentral describes it as "bacterial SSU rRNA". It matches the Rfam family "Bacterial small subunit ribosomal RNA", at positions 21 to 878 of the family's 1533-position model. The record is from RNAcentral.